AGAAUGCCAAUACAUGGACUUAUAUCCGACUCCCCACAAUAACAAACACUAACCAGCGAACACCAAAGAAAAUUUUCUUCGUCCAUAAAAUUACCCAAAAAUAUUUUUCACUUUUCUUAACAUUUUAUUUAAUUUUAUAUAAUUUUUAUUUUCGUAUUUUUUUAAUAUUAAUAUUUUAUUUUAAUUAUUUAUUCUAAAUAGUCCAUUUUAACACACUUUUUU
Molecule: long non-coding RNA, 222 nt
Filed under: Lathyrus oleraceus (garden pea)
Lineage: Eukaryota; Viridiplantae; Streptophyta; Magnoliopsida; Fabales; Fabaceae
Description: Pisum sativum (pea) long non-coding RNA (PSAT_LNC039740)
Source: RNAcentral